Molecule: ribosomal RNA, 242 nt
Filed under: uncultured Bacteroides sp.
Lineage: Bacteria; Pseudomonadati; Bacteroidota; Bacteroidia; Bacteroidales; Bacteroidaceae
Description: partial 16S ribosomal RNA
Rfam family: Bacterial small subunit ribosomal RNA
Source: RNAcentral
CACACAGUAAACGAUGAAUACUCGCUGUUUGCGAUAUACAGUAAGCGGCCAAGCGAAAGCAUUAAGUAUUCCACCUGGGGAGUACGCCGGCAACGGUGAAACUCAAAGGAAUUGACGGGGGCCCGCACAAGCGGAGGAACAUGUGGUUUAAUUCGAUGAUACGCGAGGAACCUUACCCGGGCUUGAAUUGCAGAUGAAUAUGUAGGAAACUAUAUAGCCAGCAAUGGCAUCUGUGAAGGUGC